AACGUAGGAGACAAACGUUAUCCGGAGUUACUGGGCGUAAAGGGCGUGUAGGUGGUUUCGUAAGUCUGGCGUGAAAUAUCUCGGCUUAACCGAGGCAGGUCGUCGGAUACUGCGGAACUAGAGGACGGUAGAGGCGUGUGGAAUUCCGGGUGUAGUGGUGAAAUGCGUAGAUAUCUGGAGGAACACCGGUGGCGAAGGCGGCAUCCUGGACCAAUUCUGACGCCGAUGAGCGAAAGCCAGGGGAGCAAACGGG
This 253-nucleotide ribosomal RNA is filed under the name uncultured bacterium. RNAcentral's name for it is "partial 16S ribosomal RNA". It matches the Rfam family "Bacterial small subunit ribosomal RNA", at positions 524 to 776 of the family's 1533-position model. The record is from RNAcentral.